CAUGUUCGCUUUAGCCUUAACGGGAUAAAGAGGAAAGUCCGGACACCACAGGGCAGGAUUCCUUACGAAAGUAAGGGGCAAGAUGGCAAACGUCUUGCACGGCAAGUGUCACAGAAAAUAAACCGCCAUUUGCGUGGCAAGGGUGAAAAGGAGGUGUAAGAGACCACCGCAUGGUCAGCAAUGGCCGUGGCAGGAUAAACCCAAUCUGGUGCAAGACCAAGUAGAAAGUUGGACGGCCCGUCUCAAAACUUUGGGUGAGUCGCAUUCGAAAGAAAGCAAUUAACAUUGCUAGAUAAAUGAACAUGGCAUCGACAACGAUGUACAGAAUCUGGCUUAUACACC
Molecule: RNase P RNA, 342 nt
Filed under: human gut metagenome
Description: Bacterial RNase P class A
Rfam family: Bacterial RNase P class A
About the family: Ribonuclease P (RNase P) is a ubiquitous endoribonuclease, found in archaea, bacteria and eukarya as well as chloroplasts and mitochondria. Its best characterised activity is the generation of mature 5'-ends of tRNAs by cleaving the 5'-leader elements of precursor-tRNAs.
Source: RNAcentral